Marmota monax (woodchuck) is the source of this 3228-nucleotide long non-coding RNA. RefSeq lists it as uncharacterized. The record is from RefSeq and is a predicted model, not a curated record. The transcript has 4 exons. NCBI's taxonomy places the organism in Eukaryota, Metazoa, Chordata, Mammalia, Rodentia, Sciuridae.
GUAAGGCUUUGCAAUCCUAAUGAAGGGAAAUGGAGAUGGGGUGGGGGUGGGGAAAUCUUCAAAUUCUUCCCCCCAACAACACUUUAAAAAAAGACAGGACAAAAGAAGAAUGCGGUUCUAUAUGCACAUUUCUUUGUAGCCCUCUGACGAAGUACCUCAAAAGCUAAGCUCCCAUCAAUCCUGGAGAGAUAGGAUCGGCAGAGCAUAGUAGCUGAAUGAAUGGUUUAAAAGGAACAGCAGCGACCAAAGAACUUUUUAUGCAAAGACACCCCAAAUCUGGGGCAAAGACCUCCUGUUCAUUUUAUCUCAUAGAAGGUUGAAGAUCUCCUCGAAGGUCAUUUGUGGCACAGAAAACCAGGGUUGGCUCUGUCUGCAGAAUCCAAGAUGUCAUCAAGCCAGAAAGGGAGUAUCUGUCAACUUUCAAAGAAGUUUGAGCAAGAGGAAAUAAUACUUGGGGUGUUCCCUGAAUGAACAAGAAACCCCCAUUUGCCCAAUUUGGUACAGAUUCCUUAAGACACAUUCAUCUCCAACUCUCCCCUGUGAAAGAGCUGCAUAACCAGUCAAAGAACAAGUAUAUAGGAUUAGCACAUUAUGAAGAAUAAAGAGAAGCUUUCAGCUCUCUGUCAUGGAUGAUAUUUAUCACAUUCUUCACGACUGGCUCUAAUAACAGUGCAGAGAUAAAAUAGGUUUGAUGCAUCUCUCCUGUACGAGAAUUUUACAACUGCAACUAUAAGAAAUCCAGGAGAUGAAACACGUACUUCUCCCCUCUUGCAGAUUUUAUUAGUCUUAAAAAUGAGAGGUGUGUGUGGUGGGGAGACUAUUUCUACAAAAGUGGGCUUGGAUUUGCUGUCUGUUAUGCUAAUGUAUUCAUAGGAAAAGCUGGUGCUGAGGGCGGUUCUCCAAUUAAGACAAAUGAGGCACAUUGAAUUUCUCCCCCAGGGCACAGCAGGGGUGCUGGCAAAAUCUACUUUAUUCUUUUCUGUCAGGACUGAACUGGAAACAAAAGCAUGAAAAUUCAACACAUCCACUUACAGAAUAAUAAAGGCUGUUGUUUAAAGCGUGAAGAGUUUUGGCACCCUUCUGGGGCCUUAUGCAAAUCGCUCUUCCUCUCAACUGCUACCACACCAUCGUUCUUGGAAAUUAAAGAUGUACUUGGUCGGUUAACAGCUGAAAGGAGAAGAGCAGCCUGAAACUCAAUUAGAUUUGUAUUAAGCAAAUAAAUCAGGACUGACUGAUAUUGGCUAAACUAAAAUGCAUUAUGGGCUGACAGUAAUUCUAAUUUGAUUGACAAAUACAUGUUGUAUGUUAUUAACCUAAGUGAAAGAUAAGAAUCUUUUUUUUUUUUUUAAGGAUUUUGUUCUGGUAAACAAUCCUGUUUCUCCUUAAACUUGCUCAAAACAUUAAAGAGAGAAUACUAACUCGGUACUCUUUAAAAUCCGUGCUCUAGAACACAGGAAAUCUAUUUUGUUACAUGCUAAGAGUUUAAGACAAAAUUAAUCUGUUGAAAGACAUUUGUUUUCAUGGAUUUAUUUGGUGUCUUGUGACAUCUCAACACAUCAUUUGUCUGCGGAAUGGAGCGCACCAAGCACUAUUAUUAAGGUAGCCAAUGCCAAACCACAGACCUGCAUGUGGCCCAUUACUUAUCUGGAGCUCUGCGGUACUUGAUGCUUUUCUGCACUAAGACAUUGUGAGGUUCAAAGUCAUGAAUGAAGGUUUUAAUCAAACCCUCCAGUGCUUUGCAGGGGGUGAAAAGUAAACUAUUUACAUAGAGCAUGAAUGUGUUAGUGUGUGCUUAGAUGAACAGGAGCUUUUGCCUUGAGAAAAGAAUUCUGGGAGUUUUCUUUGUAACUUAUUUCCUUGUCUUUGUUGUUUACACUUUUCAACCUUAAAAAGAUAUAGGUGAUUCCAUUUAACAUCUUGAUAAAUUAUAAGGAAGUACUAACUUAAUACUUCUGCUUUGACAGUACCAUCUUCUGUUUUCUUCCUGGCUUGCUUUUCUGACUGGCUACCAGAUUAAAGAGUCAUUGUUAUCUUUCAGUUAUCUUUUCUUCUAUCUUUUCCUUCCAGGCUCUGUUUGCCAAAUCAUGCUGCACUUUAUACCAUGUAGGUGCCAGGAACUAUCUUCCCUCAGAAACCUGUCCCAACACUGUCCCUUGUGUGGGCUGCCUCCUGCUGCUGCUCUUGUCAACACCUGCUCUUCAGUCUUCUCUUUCUCCUCUCUGAGCAAAUCUAAGAUACUUAGCCAAAAUAGUUUUCCUGGACACCCAAUGCCAAUUAGUCCUCCCUGUCAUGAUCAAUAGUACUCCUCAUUGAUACUAAGAGAGACGGAAGAACAUCACAGAAUGAGAUUUUAUGAAUUGCCGAGAUUCACAAGGAAUUAUGUCCAUUCUCAGAAUAAAUUCUGCAUUUUAAACUUUCCAAACAUUUGCCCUCUCAGACCUUCCAGCUCUGUUCUCACUUACUUCUUCUUCUUCCUUGGCACAGCUGGCCACUGGCCAUCAGGUGGACUCCUUUUUCUGUCUCAUCUUGCAUCUAGUUUUUGUUUUCUUGCCUCCAUCUCUUAAAAGUAAUCUGAUGUUAGUUUUUUAAACUUCAAUAUUCCAUCCAAACACUCCUAUAUAAUUUACUAACAACAAUCGCUACUACUUGUUGUAGGUUUAGAAUAACUUUGUUCCAUAAUGUUGAUAUGGCACCUUAGUUUAUUGAAUAUUUUAAGAUGAAGGAAUUUCAAGAAGUAACACAUGCAGGAAGGGCUUCCUGACCUUCCUUAAAAUGGGUCCUAAGACCCUUCAUUCGAGAGGUGCCCUUCCUUAUCUCCAAAAACACAUUUAAGGAAAUCCUUAUCUAUAAAGACAAAGGGGAGAGCCCUAAUAUCCAGAGUAUACAAAGAACUCAAAAAAUUAAACAAUAAGAAAACAAAUAACCCAAUCAACAAAUGGGCCAAAGACCUGAACAGACACUUCUCAGAGGAGGACAUACAAUCAAUCAAUAAGUACAUGAAAAAAUGCUCACCAUCUCUAGCAGUCAGAGAAAUGCAAAUCAAAACCACCCUAAGAUACCAUCUCACUCCAGUAAGAUUGGCAGCCAUUAUGAAGUCAAACAACAACAAGUGCUGGAGAGGAUGUGGGGAAGAGGGUACUCUUGUACAUUGCUGGUGGGACUGCAAACUGGUGCGGCCAAUCUGGAAAGCAGUAUGGAGAUUCCUGGGAAAGCUGGGAAUGGAACCAC